UUAUUAUUUUUCGAUAUCAUUUGCCUAGUGAUCGAAUGGGCUCAAAAUCAACAAAUUUCAAUGGUCGUAGUGCGUCGUUUGCAUGUUUAACGGUAUAGAAAUAUCCAAAUCACAUGAAAUUUUGAUAGAAAAUUCUUUAUACUAUAUAAAACAAGAUCAAUAUCUUUGAUUUAAAAUUUUAAUGUCAUAUUAUCACAUUUUGUAAGAUUUUUAUUUUCAGCCGUUGAUUUUAAGCCCCUUCGUUCACUAGACAAAUGAUAUCGCAAAAUCAUAAAAUUUAUUUUCUAGGUACUUCAAAUACUCUAGAUCAAGUUUAACGGAGCCGAUUGACAAUUCGAAAGUCGCAACAUCAAAAAUGAGCUGAAAGCAUAGAAAGCUCUGUGCUUCCGAUAGCAUAGUAGCCUCACUCUAUAUAUAUAUAUAUAUCGGAUGCUAAAUUUUUAUUAUCGUAACUGCUUAAAACGGAUUCGAAUUCAGAUAAUAAUAUAUACUAAUACGAGUAGAGUUAUUAUGCUUUCGGAAGUAUAAUAAAGUUCGUGCUUUCAACUUUUUGUUCAUUGGAUCAAUUCUUUUGAUCAUUUCUGAUAUUUGGAUUAAUAUUAUUAUCCAGAGGGACCGCUCAAUACUAGGAGGACCACUCAAUCUUAAGGGGGGACCGCUAAAAUCUCAACCCUAUAAUUCUUAAUCCAAAGAUCAAAAAGUCGGAAGUAUCAACUUUAUGCUUUCGAUAGCAUAGUAACUCUACACUACUAAUAUAUAUAGUCCGACUACUAUACUAUCGAUAAUAUCA
This 790-nucleotide long non-coding RNA is filed under the name Ananas comosus (pineapple). Its description in RNAcentral is "long non-coding RNA (ACOM_LNC040626)". The record is from RNAcentral. Lineage: Eukaryota; Viridiplantae; Streptophyta; Magnoliopsida; Poales; Bromeliaceae.